GUUUAACAAAAACAUGUCUUUUUGAUAAUAAUUUAAAGUCUGGCCUGCCCAAUGAAUUUAAUUUAAUGGCCGCGGUAUAUUGACUGUGCAAAGGUAGCAUAAUCAUUAGUUUUUUAAUUGAAAGCUGGAAUGAAAGGUUGAAUGAAAAAAUAACUGUCUCUAUUUAAAUUAUUUAGAAUUUUAUUUUUAAGUAAAAAAGCUUAAAUGAUAAUAAAAGACGAGAAGACCCUAUAGAGUUUUAUAUUUUUUAUUUUAGAAAUUUUUAGUAUCUAUAUUUUUGAUUUUAAGUGAGUAUUUUAUUGGGGUGAUAGAAAAAUUAAAUAAACUUUUUUUUAAAAAUUACACUAUUAAGUGAUUUUUUGAUCCUUUAUUUAAGAUUAAAAGAUUAAAUUACCUUAGGGAUAACAGCGUAAUUUUUUUUGAGAGUUCUAAUCGAAAGAAAAGAUUGCGACCUCGAUGUUGGAUUAAAA
This 470-nucleotide ribosomal RNA is filed under the name Conotrachelus sp. SPN-027. RNAcentral describes it as "partial 16S ribosomal RNA". It matches the Rfam family "Bacterial large subunit ribosomal RNA", at positions 1802 to 2542 of the family's 2925-position model. Lineage: Eukaryota; Metazoa; Arthropoda; Insecta; Coleoptera; Curculionidae. The record is from RNAcentral.